CAGCCGCCGCGGUAACACCGAGGGUGCGAGCGUUAAUCGGAUUUACUGGGCGUAAAGCGUGCGUAGGCGGCUAAUUGAGUCGGAUGUGAAAUCCCCGAGCUUAACUUGGGAAUUGCAUUCGAUACUGGUUAGCUAGAGUGUGGGAGAGGAUGGUAGAAUUCCAGGUGUAGCGGUGAAAUGCGUAGAGAUCUGGAGGAAUACCGAUGGCGAAGGCAGCCAUCUGGCCUAACACUGACGCUGAGGUACGAAAGCAUGGGGAGCAAACAGGAUUAGAUACCCCGGUAGUCCCUGUCUCUUAUAC
RNAcentral lists this ribosomal RNA (301 nucleotides) under uncultured bacterium. Its description in RNAcentral is "partial 16S ribosomal RNA". It matches the Rfam family "Bacterial small subunit ribosomal RNA", at positions 509 to 807 of the family's 1533-position model. The record is from RNAcentral.